Molecule: long non-coding RNA, 460 nt
Filed under: Felis catus (domestic cat)
Lineage: Eukaryota; Metazoa; Chordata; Mammalia; Carnivora; Felidae
Description: lncRNA (ENSFCAG00000045114.2)
Source: RNAcentral
CUCCUUUACUACGGUAACGGUUUUCGCCAACCCGCCAGGACUCCAAAAAGGCUGUCCCUCUUUAUGACAAAAUCGGACAAGGGGAAAUGCACCGGCCGGGGGGUUGGCAGCGAGCCUGGACGGUGGUGGCAGCCACAGCCCCGCGCCCCAGCCGGGCAGCGAACGUGGCGCCAUCCAGCACCUUCCCCGGGAACCACGCGCAGCGUCUCGGCCUCGGCCGCUGCGGAGCUCGGAGCUUGUCUGGACCUGCUGGGAAGAGGGACGGACAUCUCCACGAUGGAGGCCUGCGGGUUGGCUGUGGUUCAUCUGAUUGAUGGCUUUCCGCUCCCCCGCGAGCCUCCUGGUGCACGGCUCCCUCAGAGCAGGCAAACUCAGCUGCUUCCUCGCUGUACAAGUUACUUCCUUGCUCCAAGCCCUGGGUUCCUCCUUGGUGGAUUAAGGAUUCCUACGUCAUAGAGAU